Drosophila simulans is the source of this 858-nucleotide long non-coding RNA. RefSeq lists it as uncharacterized. Lineage: Eukaryota; Metazoa; Arthropoda; Insecta; Diptera; Drosophilidae. The transcript has 2 exons. The record is from RefSeq and is a predicted model, not a curated record.
AACUAGUUUUAUGAGCAGUCUUACAGAAAAAUGGUAAUCAUGUCAUUACAACAGAACUUAUUUCGAGAAAAAAACUAAAUCAAACUAUAGAAUUGAUUCGAUCAGAGUAGGAUAUAGUAAAAAGACAAAUACUGGACAUUCCAACCAACAAUUACACCCUUAUUUACAAUUUCCCACGAAUUUCAUAUGAUAUAUGUUAUGAACGGAUUACUUGUUUCAUCGGAUUCGUAUAUGUAAGUUACGAACCCUCUUCUUGCGCCCUUCGUCAGGUCUCACCAGCGCUCGGCUCUCGUGUUUUCGGGCCCCGUCAGCAGGCGACUCGGGGCCUGUCUAGUAACAUGUUUGUGUAUGUGUGCAUUCGGAACAAGUGCCGUUGGUCGCACUCAGGGUGGGGUAGAGGGGUCAACGGGGGAAGCGUAUAUAAAAGCAGCGGGACGGGAGAAGAGGAGCCAGUCUCGAACGGACACAUAACGGAACCGCUAGCAGAUCACGAACUGAAUCUUAAAAUAAAGCUAAUCGUAAACUCGAACCCUCUUAACUAUCUUGACUAUUAUUUGGAGAACCACAGCAUGUUGGUUGUCAUAUCAAGAAUUUUGCCGUGGAACUUCAGGCGGGAGUGGAGGCCGAGCUGGACAUUGAGCUCUUCCGUGAGGCACUGAACCGUGCCGGCGGCGCCAACUACGGAACGGGCAUCCGGGAUAACUAAGCGGCCUCCAAGUUACUUUAUAUAUACAUUUUUUUUUGCAACUCUUAACUGCUUACCCAACUGCUCCUUUCUCUUUAAUUAUUAUUAAUUAAUUUUAUGAAAUUUAAAAACUGUACAUUUUAUGAAAUAUUAUACAAGCAAUUGGACAAUUA